GACGAACGCUGGCGGCGUGCUUAACACAUGCAAGUCGAACGGAAAGGCCCUGCUUUUGUGGGGUGCUCGAGUGGCGAACGGGUGAGUAACACGUGAGUAACCUGCCCUUGACUUUGGGAUAACUUCAGGAAACUGGGGCUAAUACCGGAUAGGAGCUCCUGCUGCAUGGUGGGGGUUGGAAAGUUUCGGCGGUUGGGGAUGGACUCGCGGCUUAUCAGCUUGUUGGUGGGGUAGUGGCUUACCAAGGCUUUGACGGGUAGCCGGCCUGAGAGGGUGACCGGCCACCAUGGGCCUGCGGUACGGCCCAGUCUCCUACGGGCGGCAGCAGUGGGGAAUAUUGCACAAUGGGCGGAAGUCUGUUGCAGCAACGCCGCGUGCGGGAUAACGGCCUUCGGGUUGUAAACCGCUUUCGCCUGUGCCGAAGCGUGAGUGACGGUAAUGGGUCAAGAAGCACCGGCUAACUACGUG
Molecule: ribosomal RNA, 468 nt
Filed under: uncultured bacterium
Lineage: Bacteria
Description: partial 16S ribosomal RNA
Rfam family: Bacterial small subunit ribosomal RNA
Source: RNAcentral